Molecule: small nuclear RNA, 19 nt
Filed under: Arabidopsis thaliana (thale cress)
Lineage: Eukaryota; Viridiplantae; Streptophyta; Magnoliopsida; Brassicales; Brassicaceae
Description: snRNA_07385
Source: RNAcentral
GGUAAUCAAAACCGCACUU